RNAcentral lists this ribosomal RNA (484 nucleotides) under uncultured archaeon. RNAcentral describes it as "bacterial SSU rRNA". It matches the Rfam family "Archaeal small subunit ribosomal RNA", at positions 40 to 528 of the family's 1478-position model. The record is from RNAcentral.
GAGAGUAAACCUGCGAGUCUUGUAGUAAUACAAGGCUUACGGCUCAGUAACACCUAGUCAACCUACCCUAUGGACGGGGAUAACCUCGGGAAACUGAGAAUAAUACCCGAUAGAACAUUAUACCUGGAACGGUUUAUGUUUCAAAUAAUUUAUUGCCGUAGGAUGGGACNUGCGGCCUAUCAGUUUGUUGGUGAGGUANUGGCCCACCAAGACUAUUACAGGUACGGGCUCUGAAAGGAGUAGCCCGGAGAUGGGUACUGAAACACGGACCCAGGCCCUAUGGGGCGCAGCAGGCGAGAAAACUUUGCAAUGUGCGAAAGCACAACAAGGUUAGUCCGAGUGGUUUCUGCUAAAGGAACCUUUUGUCAGUCGUAGAAACACUGUUGAAUAAGGGGUGGGCAAAGUUCUGGUGUCAGCCGCCGCGGGAAAACGAGCACCUCAGGUGGUCAGGGAUGAUUAUUGGGCCUAAAGCAUCCGUANCGUG